This is a small nucleolar RNA of Mauremys mutica (yellowpond turtle), 64 nucleotides long. RefSeq annotates it as small nucleolar RNA Z39. The transcript has a single exon. Lineage: Eukaryota; Metazoa; Chordata; Testudines; Geoemydidae. The record is from RefSeq and is a predicted model, not a curated record.
GUACAAAUGAUGUGAAUACAACGGUAUGAGAAAAACAAUGAUACUGCAAAUGCUUUCUGAUGCA